Molecule: long non-coding RNA, 381 nt
Organism: Episyrphus balteatus (marmalade hoverfly)
Lineage: Eukaryota; Metazoa; Arthropoda; Insecta; Diptera; Syrphidae
Exons: 3
Source: RefSeq, a predicted model, not a curated record
CUUAUUGAACACAUACAUACGUUGGAGUGCUCAAAUGGCGUAACACCAUCCAAAAUGAUUCAGUUAACUCUUGGCCAUCAGAAAAUGGAGGUGGUAGUUGCGACGUGAACAUUGAACACUAGGCACAGCGCUUGGAAUUGCAAGAUUUCUGCAUUUAUAUUCCUCUAUCGUUGAACCGUUUGUUAGCGAGUUUAAUGGAUUAUUCAAGAAAGCAAGUUUUCCAAUGGCUCAUCUCAAUCAUUGAUGGUUGAAACAAGCCAGGAUCGAUAAAAUUCAGUUGUGCGUCAGGAGACUUUUUCCCAUUACAAGUAAAUGAGAAGAAAAACAACAACUGCAACUCUAUUAACUAAAUCAUAGAGAAUUCGUACACCAUUGAAAGAG